Molecule: non-coding RNA, 25 nt
Filed under: Mus musculus (house mouse)
Lineage: Eukaryota; Metazoa; Chordata; Mammalia; Rodentia; Muridae
Source: RNAcentral
UGCUAAAAGAUCUUGGCUCUCUGGG